UGCCUGGGCCGAAUAGCCUUGAUGGCAUCUUGAAGGUCCUUGAGAGAUUAGAAAUGAAAGUCCCGGAAGCUGCUAAUCCCAAGACUUGGAAGGCAGAGACAGGAGAGCUACUAGUUUGAGAGGAGUCUGAGAUGUGCUUCUCUCUCCUUUUAAACACCACACAGAAGCUGCAUGUGGAAGGUGGAGGCAGGAGGAUCCAGAGUCACAGGCUAGCCUCAGCUACGUGGUGAAUAUGGAUGAAAUUUCACAAAAAGAAGCUGCUUUUUCAAAGUGAACCUUCCGCAAGGCUGACUAAUCCUCGAAGCUACGUGACAGAGAUGGAGCACUGGGAAUGCACAGAGAACCAGUUUCCCUUUGGGAAAUAGUCUCUCGCUUCCUCCUGUCUGAACCUGAAGGCAUCAUCAGUAUGUGGGGCCUAAACCAGAGUUCUCCGUUUUCCUGUGGCCAGCCUCUCCGAUGCUCCCACCCAUGUAUCUGAAAAGCACCUUGAUUUAUUUUGAUGAUUUUUUAUUUAUUUAUCUGUAAACAAACUCUGUGUCCCGUGGCCACAGUCACCCACGUUUGUCUCCAAAAUAAACGUCUCUUCUUUGAGAGGGAGAGAAAGAAAGA
Molecule: long non-coding RNA, 609 nt
Filed under: Rattus norvegicus (Norway rat)
Lineage: Eukaryota; Metazoa; Chordata; Mammalia; Rodentia; Muridae
Description: long non-coding RNA NONRATT012136
Source: RNAcentral